GCGGGGGUACCCGAGACCAUGCAAGGGUCCUCGUCCUACGUAGGCCUUCGUGGGUUCGAAUCCCACCCCCCGCACCA
RNAcentral lists this transfer RNA (77 nucleotides) under Candidatus Bathyarchaeota archaeon. RNAcentral's name for it is "tRNA-Arg". It matches the Rfam family "tRNA". Rfam says of the family: Transfer RNA (tRNA) molecules are approximately 80 nucleotides in length. Their secondary structure includes four short double-helical elements and three loops (D, anti-codon, and T loops). Lineage: Archaea; Thermoproteati; Candidatus Bathyarchaeota. The record is from RNAcentral.